CCUACGGGAGGCAGCAGUGGGGAAUCUUGCGCAAUGGACGAAAGUCUGACGCAGCGACGCCGCGUGGGUGAUGAAGGCCUUCGGGUUGUAAAGCCCUGUGGGGAGAGACGAAUAAGUGCAGGCGAAUACCCUGCAUGAUGACGGUAUCUCCUUAGCAAGCACCGGCUAACUCUGUGCCAGCAGCCGCGGUAAGACAGAGGGUGCAAACGUUGUUCGGAAUUACUGGGCGUAAAGCGUGUGUAGGCGGCCACGUAAGUCGGAUGUGAAAGCCCCGGGCUCAACCCGGGAAGUGCAUUCGAUACUGCGUGGCUUGAGUAUCGGAGAGGUUGGUGGAAUUCUCGGUGUAGAGGUGAAAUUCGUAGAUAUCGAGAGGAACAUCGGUGGCGAAGGCGGCCAACUGGACGAAUACUGACGCUGAGACACGAAAGCGUGGGGAGCAAACAGGAUUAGAUACCCCAGUAGUC
This 464-nucleotide ribosomal RNA is filed under the name uncultured delta proteobacterium. RNAcentral's name for it is "bacterial SSU rRNA". It matches the Rfam family "Bacterial small subunit ribosomal RNA", at positions 338 to 795 of the family's 1533-position model. The record is from RNAcentral. Lineage: Bacteria; Deltaproteobacteria.